UUUCGACAAAAUUUGCAAAUAAUUUCAUAUUUCAGCACUAAAUAUGUUUACAUCACAGGCCAUAAAGCCGUACAAACUAGUAUCACUUGUUCCUAUACAAAACUAUCAACUGAUACAUACAACAAAACAGAAUACAGAAAAUUUAGUUCAACAAAAAUAAGUUUUCUUCCUCUUCCAUCUUCCAGGACACAAAACACCUGUGAAAGUAAAGAUGCCACAACAAAAAUGGAAGGAUCAGCCAUUAGAAGCAUAUUGAGUACAAGGGAAACACGCACUGUGAAAAUUUUGACAGCACGAAUAUUUUUUAUAUUACAAUAACAAACAAAAAUGUAAUCUGAUUGCAUAAGACAUAUGGCAUUAUCAACAAGACAAAGCAAAAUUUAUAGUGCCAACUCGGGAAUAAGAUAAAGCAAAAUUUAUAAAUCUAUAACAUCGCACACGAGGUCUAAAUUUAUACUAUGUUCCUUUAGAAGCAAGAGUUGGUUCGUGUCUAGCUUUUAUUGCAGAUAACUAGUAAAUUUCCACAAAAAAUAGGAGCGACAUAUGUUUUAAUCUCGUGUUUGCAGUAUAUAUUCACAACAUGUAAGAAUACUUUGAUUAACAAACUAACCAACCAUCAACUAACACUUCACAGUACCAACUAACACUUCACAGUACCAACUAACACUUCACAGUACCAAAAAGAUGGGGUGGCGCUCACCAAUUCAGAUGUGCAGCAGCCAUGAGGGCUUCUUCGUGUUCCACCUACAGCAGCGGCAACUUCUACAAAUCUGAGACACAAAACAAACGCAUGCAGAAGGAAUCAGAGGGAGGGGAGAUGAAGAACAUGGCAGGCAUUUAUAUGAUGGCAGUACAUAUGGAACAAACAGCAGUCCAUACUUGC
RNAcentral lists this long non-coding RNA (883 nucleotides) under Triticum aestivum (bread wheat). RNAcentral describes it as "long non-coding RNA (TAES_LNC003955)". Lineage: Eukaryota; Viridiplantae; Streptophyta; Magnoliopsida; Poales; Poaceae. The record is from RNAcentral.